Long non-coding RNA from Saccostrea cuccullata (small rock oyster), 833 nucleotides. RefSeq lists it as uncharacterized. Lineage: Eukaryota; Metazoa; Mollusca; Bivalvia; Ostreida; Ostreidae. The record is from RefSeq and is a predicted model, not a curated record. The transcript has 3 exons.
UUUGUGGGUUACACGCAGCCAUGUUGAUGUUGCACAGAAGGAAAGUUCGGAAGAGAGUGUCGCGAAAAGGAGAAUCAUGACUAGCUUUGGAUGGAAUUUCUGUUUUGAAAGAAGAUGAAGACAUUUUACGACACGGUACUGCGUUGCAUGCAGUGGACUGUGUCCGAGACGAUUCCUACAGCGCCGGCGAAUAGUCAGCUUGUAAAAUUGAAAUUGUGCCAGCAAAGUUUGAAGUAUCUAUGGAAAUGAUCAACAUUGAACUUUCCGAACCUUCCUACUUAAAGUGAAUCCGUUCGUGACAUGACCAGUUAUUUGGCUACCCUCUAACAUAACGCCAUCUUUUAUUUAUUUAUUAUUGUGAAUUUCAUGGGAUAUCAGUGAGGAAGUGAUUCAAGCAGACACUUGAGAAAUUUCGGAUCUAACUUAAUUAGGAUCUUUGGCAUAUUCGAGGAAAAUAGCAUGUGUUGAUUUUAUGGGAUCUUUUUAUUAAUAUAGUUGUGUAAUGGAUAUUUUGUACUUAAUACAUGUGUUUGUCACUCUAGUCUAGUCAUUAACUUUGUACGAUAAAUGUACAUGGGCAACUGGAAGUUCAUUGUAACUGCAAUGACCUCUCCCAAUGUCAUUAAGUCAAAUGCCAUAUUUUAAAAAAAGAAAUAGUUUGUUUUAUUACAAAGAAAUGUCGAUCAGUGAGAAUACUUUGAAAAAAUGUGCUUACAUUGUACAUCUAUAAAUGUAUGUGUAAUUUUUGUUUCAAAACACAUUGUAAAAGAAACGAUUUUUUAAUUUUGAAAAUAUAGAUUUGAUCUUUGAUAAAUUGUGAUGUUAUCAUUAUU